RNAcentral lists this unclassified non-coding RNA (200 nucleotides) under soil metagenome. RNAcentral describes it as "partial contains internal transcribed spacer 2 and large subunit ribosomal RNA". The record is from RNAcentral.
UAUGCCUAUUUGAGUGUUAUGAACAUCUCAUCCAAAUCCUUUGGAUGGUUAUGAGCUUGCGUUGGCUAGCUCGAAAUCAAUAGGGAAAACAUUUACCAUGUCUAUCGUCAUAUAUAUUUGCGAUGUCCAUUGGUACUUAGUGACCCAUAAUAUUUUUCAAUCUUAGCCUCAAAUUAGGUAGGAAUACCCGCUGAACUUAA